This is a long non-coding RNA of Aedes albopictus (Asian tiger mosquito), 947 nucleotides long. RefSeq lists it as uncharacterized. NCBI's taxonomy places the organism in Eukaryota, Metazoa, Arthropoda, Insecta, Diptera, Culicidae. The record is from RefSeq and is a predicted model, not a curated record. The transcript has 2 exons.
AAAUGAUGAUGGUUGGACCGAGUCAAAAACUGAUCAUGGUUGGACCAUUUUUUAAAAAUACCAAUUUAGCCAACACUUUCUCACCAACUUGAUCUAAAUGUCAUUAGUAUCGAAGUAGUAUGCCUUCUUCCUUGAAUUCACAUUGAUUUUGAUCGAAAUAUCUUCAAAUUCAUAAAAUAACUGAGCUUUUCGGGAAGACUUGCAAUUAGCACAUUUGGGUACCGAAAUUAAGCGAUUUACAGCUUCUACAAUAAAGACAUUCCGUGGAAAAUCCUAGAAACUUUUUGGGUUAUACUGGUGCGAAAAUUUGUAAACUUCAUUUCGGUACUUUGGAAGUUUAUCAUAUUCUUCAAAAAAUGCAAUUAAUUAGCGAAAUAAUGUCAACUGAAUCUGAUCAUGGUUGGUCCUACGUAUGAUUUUAGUUGGACCUAACCGUUACCAUGUGGGUUGCUAGGUUCAGUUGAACUUGUUUACAGUUUUCUUUGCGGGCGCUGACAGUAGGUACCGAACCGUCGCGAUGAAGUCUUUCGAACCUAACUACUUCAACCGCACAGAAAAACACUGAAUCAACAGGAGUAUGGCGCGCAACAUAAUGCUACUACGGACUUGAUACACUCUUGAAUGUUACCGAAGCUCGUGCGUUUGAGUGGUUCUACAUAUUCGGUGCUCAACCCCGAAGGACAGACGUUUGCCGCUGGCUGAAUAUUGCUGAUAAGCCGACAUCUUCAAAAACGCAGCCUGAUAUUGUAAAUUGGCCGCUGUGUGUUUCAUAAGCUGGCUUAUACGCCAACUUAUGGACCAGCCUCAUCACUCUGCCCUCUGGCAGCGAUCAUUUUCCGAUGGGUCCCUGGAUUACAAUUUUACCGCAGGCGAGCUGACUGAAAUUACUUGACAUUGUGCUACAUACAUUCAAUUGCUUGCCGAAAUAAAUUCAUAUGUAUUACUUA